UUUUUAACUUACCACAGUAAUAAAUGUUCACCACAGAAAAAUGUUACGAACAAAUAAGCAACCAUGCCGAAUAGUGGGGUUCAGAUUAUGCUCAUUCACAGCCAUAUUUACAUUUUUGCCAACGAAGGUUUUUGCAAGACAAUUUGUUUGAGUUUAUUUCAUGGUUAAAUGCUUUACGAUGGUUUAUUUAGUUUUUUGAAUCUGGAAGAAGUGUUUACAAAUUUCCCUUGGGACGAUGAACAACAGAUCGGCUGAUAUUUCAUUGCAAUAAAAGUACGAAAUAACUAAACAUGGUCUCGUUAAUAUUGCUGCUUAAUGGGCGCUGUUCCAAUUUUAUGAUUUAAGAGAAGAAAAGGCGAUACGGGAUGCUGUGAAGUACUCAACUGUAGUUAACAAAUUAGUUGGUCGUGAAUUCGAGACAAAAUUUUAAACUCAAUAAACUCGUGGAGGGUGCACGUCGCAUUGCUAGAAUCAGCAAAGGAGCUGGUGUAGAACGCUAGUCCCAAACUAAUGAGCUUUGUGCUUGAGGAUGGAAGCAACUUUUUGAAGAGCAAAUACUACUGUGAGCACAUUCGAAUGUUGCACAAGCUAUUGUCAAUUGCGCAAAGGAUCCCGAUUCUGCUGGUCAGGUUAAUCAAGCUGUUGGAUCAAAGCGUUACCAGUUGAGCGAAUUAAUUGACUGGUUUCAUCGUGUUAUGCGCAAAAUAUGCGCAUAUCGUGCUGCGCAAUAUUAUGAUGCCGAAUUGGAAGAGUGGGAGGAACCAGUUCCACCAAAAUCGACAGAAGAACUACGUAUGUUUGCAUAAAACUACUAUAAUGGCAACAACGCUAACAACAACCAAGCAAAUAUAAAACAACACUCAUCAAAUGAAAGUUGGUGGCGUUGGUGGCCAAGCAGCGAUUUAAAAAGAAAUAUUUGCAUCUACGCGAAUUACAAUUCGUCUUUACAUCUA
Bactrocera neohumeralis is the source of this 953-nucleotide long non-coding RNA. RefSeq lists it as uncharacterized. The record is from RefSeq and is a predicted model, not a curated record. The transcript is spliced from 3 exons. Lineage: Eukaryota; Metazoa; Arthropoda; Insecta; Diptera; Tephritidae.